RNAcentral lists this unclassified non-coding RNA (464 nucleotides) under uncultured Exidia. RNAcentral's name for it is "sequence contains ITS2". The stretch from base 1 to 154 matches the Rfam family "5.8S ribosomal RNA". The record is from RNAcentral. Lineage: Eukaryota; Fungi; Basidiomycota; Agaricomycetes; Auriculariales; Exidiaceae.
AACUUUUGGCAAUGGAUUACUUGGCUCUCCCAUCGAUGAAGAACGCAGCGAACUGCGAUACGUAAUGUGAAUUGCAGAAUUCAGUGAAUCAUCGAAUCUUUGAACGCACCUUGCGCCGCUCGGUUUUCCGAGGGGCACGUCUGUUUGAGUGUCACGUUAAUCUAUCACUUCGCACAUUUUAUUAUGUGUUGAACGUGGAUUUGGACUGUGCUGUUGCUUCGUUCAACGGCUCGUCUCGAAAUGCAUGGUUGCCUGCGGAGUCUUGCGCUGCAUGAGACUGGCGAAACGGUGUGAUAUUUUAUCUACGCUGGACUAGUCGGUUUUGACGCUGGCUGCACUAGGAGCGCUCCGGGCUCAUAAUGAAGAAGGACGAUUCGGUUCGUCCUCCAUUUUUUACCUUUGCGUUUGACCUCAAAUCAGAUGGGACUACCCGCUGAACUUAAGCAUAUCAAUAAGCGGAGGCU